AUAAAGUGAGUAAAAAUAGAUUUAUUUCUGAAGUUCACAUAAUAUAUUAUACAAAUAUCAACUUAUAUUUAUGUGAUGUCUUUAUUGUAAGGCUAAACACUUUGAACAUUUAACCCCAAAAAAAUCUCAUUUGCAUUGUUUAAUUCACCAUAAAAACAAACAAACAAACAAAAUACAACAAAGAAGCUCAUUAGUUUCGACAAAUCUUUUUUUCAAAGGAACAAUAAAUAUAUUUCUUGAAAUGAAAAAAAAAGCCAGCAAUUAUGUACUCCCAAUUGAAUAAAGGCCAAAACUAGACCAAUGUACACUAAACUCCAAUGU
Molecule: non-coding RNA, 321 nt
Organism: Biomphalaria pfeifferi
Lineage: Eukaryota; Metazoa; Mollusca; Gastropoda; Planorbidae
Source: the annotation of a GenBank genome assembly